Molecule: microRNA, 21 nt
Filed under: Echinococcus multilocularis
Lineage: Eukaryota; Metazoa; Platyhelminthes; Cestoda; Cyclophyllidea; Taeniidae
Also listed under: 1 other name
Description: emu-miR-125-3p
Gene: emu-miR-125-3p
Source: miRBase by way of RNAcentral
CAACUCUAAUGUCCCGGGUUA